UUUUUUGUUUGUUUUUCUUUU
Molecule: small RNA, 21 nt
Filed under: Arabidopsis thaliana (thale cress)
Lineage: Eukaryota; Viridiplantae; Streptophyta; Magnoliopsida; Brassicales; Brassicaceae
Description: ATSL006720
Source: RNAcentral